UUCUUUUCUUUCUCUUUCAGGACUUCAGACAAGUGUGACGAGGCUGUGUGGUGAGAUUGUGGAGCUGAAGCAGCACCUGGAGCACUAUGACAAGAUCCAGGAGCUCACGCACAUGCUGCAGGAGAGCCACAGCUCCCUGGUCAGCACCAACGAACACCUGCUGCAGGAGCUGAGCCAGGUGCGGGCGCAGCACCGGGCCGAGGUGGAGCAGAUGCACUGGAGCUACCAGGAGCUCAAGAAGACCAUGGCCCUGUUUCCGCACGGGAGCGCCGGCCCUGGACGCUGCCAGGCCUGCUGACUCCUGCCAGGAGCUAGUGCUGCUCCUUGAGCUACCUGCUGAAUUACGUGGCCUGUGCCUUCCUGUUUCUUUACUGAGUGUAUUGGCUGGCAAGGGUUCUUGCUUCUGUUUGUAAGUACUUAGGAUUUUUGGAAUGUAUUCAGGGGCUAUAGCUUGUUUUUCUAAAGCAUCCGAAAAUGAUAUGAUCCAUCCAAGCCCUUCGCAUGUUUGGAGACAAAACACAUUGACAUAUUUUGAGACCAACUGACCAUUAAUCUUUCAUCCAGUGUCCAGAGAUGACGUAAAUGCAGUGUUUCACUACCUGAUAUAAAGGAGAGCUAUGUAUGAUCUUUAUUUAAUAAAUGAUACAUUGUUCUGAAAA
Molecule: long non-coding RNA, 659 nt
Organism: Cebus imitator (Panamanian white-faced capuchin)
Lineage: Eukaryota; Metazoa; Chordata; Mammalia; Primates; Cebidae
Exons: 2
Source: RefSeq, a predicted model, not a curated record